UAGGGAAUCUUCGGCAAUGGACGAAAGUCUGACCGAGCAACGCCGCGUGAGUGAAGAAGGUUUUCGGAUCGUAAAACUCUGUUGUUUGAGAAGAACAAGGACGUUAGUAACUGAACGUCCCCUGACGGUAUCUAACCAGAAAGCCACGGCUAACUACGUGCCAGCAGCCGCGGUAAUACGUAGGUGGCAAGCGUUGUCCGGAUUUAUUGGGCGUAAAGCGAGCGCAGGCGGUUUCUUUAGUCUGAUGUGAAAGCCCCCGGCUCAACCGGGGAGGGUCAUUGGAAACUGGGAGACUUGAGUGCAGAAGAGGAGAGUGGAAUUCCAUGUGUAGCGGUGAAAUGCGUAGAUAUAUGGAGGAACACCAGUGGCGAAGGCGGCUCUCUGGUCUGUAACUGACGCUGAGGCUCGAAAGCGUGGGGAGCAAACAGG
This 429-nucleotide ribosomal RNA is filed under the name Gemmatimonadota bacterium. Its description in RNAcentral is "Gemmatimonadetes bacterium partial 16S ribosomal RNA". It matches the Rfam family "Bacterial small subunit ribosomal RNA", at positions 355 to 776 of the family's 1533-position model. The record is from RNAcentral. Lineage: Bacteria; Pseudomonadati; Gemmatimonadota.